ACUCAAAUGAAUUGACGGGGACCCGCACAAGCGGUGGAGCAUGUGGUUUAAUUCGAAGCAACGCGAAGAACCUUACCAAGUCUUGACAUCCCUCUGACCGGACAGUAAUGUGUCCUUCCCUUCGGGGCAGAGGAGACAGGUGGUGCAUGGUUGUCGUCAGCUCGUGUCGUGAGAUGUUGGGUUAAGUCCCGCAACGAGCGCAACCCUUAUCUUUAGUAGCCAGCGGUUUGGCCGGGCACUCUAGAGAGACUGCCAGGGAUAACCUGGAGGAAGGUGGGGACGACGUCAAAUCAUCAUGCCCCUUAUGACUUGGGCUACACACGUGCUACAAUGGCGUAAACAAAGGGAAGCGACAGGGUGACCUUAAGCAAAUCCCAAAAAUAACGUCUCAGUUCGGAUUGUAGUCUGCAACUCGACUACAUGAAGCUGGAAUCGCUAGUAAUCGCGAAUCAGAAUGUCGCGGUGAAUACGUUCCCGGGUCUUGUACACACCGCCCGU
RNAcentral lists this ribosomal RNA (498 nucleotides) under uncultured bacterium. RNAcentral's name for it is "bacterial SSU rRNA". It matches the Rfam family "Bacterial small subunit ribosomal RNA", at positions 899 to 1397 of the family's 1533-position model. The record is from RNAcentral.